Molecule: long non-coding RNA, 977 nt
Filed under: Mus musculus (house mouse)
Lineage: Eukaryota; Metazoa; Chordata; Mammalia; Rodentia; Muridae
Description: RIKEN cDNA 1500015L24 gene
Source: RNAcentral
AAGGGUCCCUUAGCUACCUAAAACAGCACCACCUGCUAGUUGACUUCAAAACAUGAGCCUUCAAGACUCCAAAUAUUAUGAGAGACCUUUCUCAUUCAAAGCACUCUUGGAGCUUGAACUGGGCUUACUGUGGUCCUGGGCUGCAUAGGAAAGCAGGCUGAGCAAGACAUAGAGAGGAAGACAACAAGUACCACUCCAUGGCCUACUUCAGUUCCUGCUUUGAAUUACUGCCUUGACUUCUCAAGAUAAUGGACUACAAAUGGAUAUGGGAGGCUUGAGCAAAUACUAUGAAUCUCUCAAGGAGCUAUGGAUUACCUUAAAAGGCUAGACAACAGAGCCACGGCACAGGAAGUCUGCCCUGGAUGCUAUCCUGCUGGGAAUUGGCCCUCUGAAACAGAUCCAUCCACCCGAUGAGUCAUGACAUUAAAAAUGAUGAAGGAAAUGGACUGGUCCCCAGACAAACAGCUCGGGGCAAUACGAUUCCUGCAUCCAAAGGACUAUGGGUUACAGACACCUCUCUCUUCUGGGAUACAACGUGUAAAAGCCGGAUUGAGAUCUCUAUGCCUGUUCUUCAACUGCUGUGGCUACCACUAUUCCAAGAGACAGAAUAAGAAAGUUAAAGACAACAAGAAAUGGGUCUGUAAGGCCCGAAGUGAGUGGUGUGGCAAACGACUGGACUCACUCACAUGAAUAUAAGGGUGAGAGGGGAAAAGCCUUGUGACUAAGUCCUGUGAUUUGGGGAUUGGGUCCAAAGCAUAGCCCAGCCCUUAUUUACUAACAUCAGAGUGAAGACAAGAACUAACUUUGCCUACAUUUUGCAGCUAAUCCAUUCAGGAACAGACUAAGUCUCGUCCUGACCUACUUGUCGUUUUUCUGUAAAGACCACUCGAGGUUUUAUCAACUUGAUCAACAGGUAUGUUCAUAGUAAACCCGAGUAACCAUUUUUGUACAGUGAAUAAAGUAUUUUUAAUAAUCCA